UACAGAGGGGGCAAGCGUUGUUCGGAAUUACUGGGCGUAAAGGGCGCGUAGGCGGCAAUUCAAGUCAUCUGUGAAAUCUCCGGGCUUAACUCGGAACGGUCAAGUGAUACUGUCGGACUAGAGUACAGAAGGGGCAACUGGAAUUCUCGGUGUAGCGGUGAAAUGCGUAGAUAUCGAGAGGAACACCUGCGGCGAAGGCGGGUUGCUGGGCUGAUACUGACGCUGAGGCGCGAAAGCCAGGGGAGCGAACGGG
RNAcentral lists this ribosomal RNA (253 nucleotides) under uncultured bacterium. RNAcentral's name for it is "partial 16S ribosomal RNA". It matches the Rfam family "Bacterial small subunit ribosomal RNA", at positions 524 to 776 of the family's 1533-position model. The record is from RNAcentral.